Molecule: ribosomal RNA, 1346 nt
Filed under: uncultured bacterium
Lineage: Bacteria
Description: bacterial SSU rRNA
Rfam family: Bacterial small subunit ribosomal RNA
Source: RNAcentral
GACGAACGCUGUCGGCGUGCUUAACACAUGCAAGUCGAACGGAAAGGCCCUGCUUUUGUGGGGUGCUCGAGUGGCGAACGGGUGAGUAACACGUGAGUAACCUGCCCUUGACUUUGGGAUAACUUCAGGAAACUGGGGCUAAUACCGGAUAGGAGCUCCUGCUGCAUGGUGGGGGUUGGAAAGUUUCGGCGGUUGGGGAUGGACUCGCGGCUUAUCAGCUUGUUGGUGGGGUAGUGGCUUACCAAGGCUUUGACGGGUAGCCGGCCUGAGAGGGUGACCGGCCACAUUGGGACUGAGAUACGGCCCAGACUCCUACGGGAGGCAGCAGUGGGGAAUAUUGCACAAUGGGCGGAAGCCUGAUGCAGCAACGCCGCGUGCGGGAUGACGGCCUUCGGGUUGUAAACCGCUUUCGCCUGUGACGAAGCGUGAGUGACGGUAAUGGGUAAAGAAGCACCGGCUAACUACGUGCCAGCAGCCGCGGUGAUACGUAGGGUGCGAGCGUUGUCCGGAUUUAUUGGGCGUAAAGGGCUCGUAGGUGGUUGAUCGCGUCGGAAGUGUAAUCUUGGGGCUUAACCCUGAGCGUGCUUUCGAUACGGGUUGACUUGAGGAAGGUAGGGGAGAAUGGAAUUCCUGGUGGAGCGGUGGAAUGCGCAGAUAUCAGGAGGAACACCAGUGGCGAAGGCGGUUCUCUGGGCCUUUCCUGACGCUGAGGAGCGAAAGCGUGGGGAGCGAACAGGCUUAGAUACCCUGGUAGUCCACGCUGUAAACGGUGGGUACUAGGUGUGGGGUCCAUUCCACGGGUUCCGUGCCGUAGCUAACGCUUUAAGUACCCCGCCUGGGGAGUACGGCCGCAAGGCUAAAACUCAAAGGAAUUGACGGGGCCCCGCACAAGCGGCGGAGCAUGCGGAUUAAUUCGAUGCAACGCGUAGAACCUUACCUGGGUUUGACAUGGAUCGGGAGUGCCCAGAGAUGGGUGUGCCUCUUUUGGGGUCGGUUCACAGGUGGUGCAUGGCUGUCGUCAGCUCGUGUCGUGAGAUGUUGGGUUAAGUCCCGCAACGAGCGCAACCCUUGUUCACUGUUGCCAGCACGUUAUGGUGGGGACUCAGUGGAGACCGCCGGGGUCAACUCGGAGGAAGGUGGGGAUGACGUCAAGUCAUCAUGCCCCUUAUGUCCAGGGCUUCACGCAUGCUACAAUGGCUGGUACAGAGAGUGGCGAGCCUGUGAGGGUGAGCGAAUCUCGGAAAGCCGGUCUCAGUUCGGAUUGGGGUCUGCAACUCGACCUCAUGAAGUCGGAGUCGCUAGUAAUCGCAGAUCAGCAACGCUGCGGUGAAUACGUUCCCGGGGCU